UACGAGGGGGGCAAAUGUUGUUCGGAAUCACUGGGCGUAAAGGGAGCGUAGGCGGGCUUCUAAGUUAGGUGUUUAAUCCCAGGGCCCAACCCUGGUCAGGCACCUAAAACUGGGAGUCUUGAAUAGUGGAGAGGACGAUGGAAUUGGGGGUGUAGCGGUGGAAUGCGUAGAGAUCCCCAAGAACACCAGUUGCGAAGGCGGUCGUCUGGACACAUAUUGACGCUGAGGCUCGAAAGCCAGGGGAGCAAACGGG
This 253-nucleotide ribosomal RNA is filed under the name uncultured bacterium. RNAcentral describes it as "partial 16S ribosomal RNA". It matches the Rfam family "Bacterial small subunit ribosomal RNA", at positions 524 to 776 of the family's 1533-position model. The record is from RNAcentral.